This 253-nucleotide ribosomal RNA is filed under the name uncultured bacterium. RNAcentral describes it as "partial 16S ribosomal RNA". It matches the Rfam family "Bacterial small subunit ribosomal RNA", at positions 524 to 776 of the family's 1533-position model. The record is from RNAcentral.
UACGUAGGGUGCGAGCGUUGUCCGGAAUUAUUGGGCGUAAAGAGCUCGUAGGCGGUUUGUCGCGUCGGCCGUGAAAUCUCCACGCUUAACGUGGAGCGUGCGGUCGAUACGGGCAGACUUGAGUUCGGUAGGGGAGACUGGAAUUCCUGGUGUAGCGGUGAAAUGCGCAGAUAUCAGGAGGAACACCGGUGGCGAAGGCGGGUCUCUGGGCCGAUACUGACGCUGAGGAGCGAAAGCAUGGGGAGCAAACAGG